UGAAAUUUAUUCUGUGAUCAAUAUAAACAUUUUAUGUCAUGCUCUUAUUUUGACCAUAUUUCUCCUGAGUAGUUAGCCUGUUACGUUUAGGCUCUCAAUCUCUGUUUAGCCGCAGCCACUGCGUGGCGAGAUCUUUGUCUCUUAUCCGCGUAUGAGCACUGCCAUUUGCACAGCUGAGAUCUUUGUCUCGUGUAUGUGUGCUGGCACUUAGGCAUGAUAGAUGCUCCUGAGGCUUUCACGAAUUAAGGCAUGUUCUGCUCAAGGAGAUUAUCAACGGCUAAGAGAAUACUAAAGUAGUCAGCAUUGCGACAAAAACAGAGCGCGAUUGCACUCAAGAGUUUGCUGCUCUCUGGCGAGUAGUUGGCAAAGUGUAGCUUUGUAGGGUAAUUCCCAUCGAGAGGCGUCCGUAAAUAAGUAGUCGGUGUGAAACAAGCCGGAAAAAAGUGACUUAGCUUGAUUCGUGGUCGAUUCUCGAUGAAACCAUGUUGAUUGUUGAUGAAGCUAACUAGUCGGAGUCGUUUCCGACUAGUUGUUGAUCACGCGGAAACCGCCCUCAACUAGUUUCUAGUCGAGACAAGGAGUCGACGUAGCCAUCAGCAACCUGAUGCGGCAGGACAUUGGGGUAGCAGUGCUCGCCCGCCGAGUAGUCGAGACGAGUAGUCGAAGUAGACCAUCCUUGACUAGUUUUAUAGUCGAGACGAGUAGUUGAGGUUGUCAUCAAUGAAGCCGUGACAGUUGUUGGUGAAGCCAACUAGUCAAAGUUGGUUCCGACUAGUCAUCGAUGGUGCGAGGCUUGUCCUGACUAGUUUCUAGUCGAGACGAGUAGUCGUUGAAGUUUCUGGUGUGGCAACAAGCAUCAUGGCGAGGUCAACAUCGUAGUUCAUGUUGGCACGUAGCCUUCUUGGUGCACGUGCCAAGAGAUUGGAGCCUUCUGGUAUGAUUCAACCUGUUAAUUGGGUUGGAACCCAAACUGUAACACCACCAACCCAUUCUCACAAAUAUAUAAAUUUAACUCACCCCAAAUCAAACUUCCACCUUCACACACCAUACCACCCCAAACUUUUCAGUGCAUAAGUUAUACAAACUGCUUGCCAAAUAUGGUUACAACCCAAUAAGAACCCAUUAGAUAGCUACUAGUAGUCAAACAAGUUGCAAAGACCUAUGUUACAUAUAUAUAUAUAUAUAGGUUGUUCACGCUUGUGCUUGGUUGCUCCCUGGCUGGAGAGACGAGACGACGACCCAACUGCCGACCAGACCCUGGUUGUUGCCAUCGUCCAACCCUGAUGCUUAUCUCCUCACAGGAGCUCGGCGAGUUGCGUUAUCUUUUGUUGGCCACCAGUUUCUGGUUCUUCUGGCCUUUGCUUGUCCAUGUCAUUCUCACUUUGCUCCUGCACCUGCCAAAUGCCAAUGCACAUGUCUCAUACCUGCUUCAAGUGAUCCACAAGUCGCUGGACAUGAAAACAUGGGUGCAAAUAGUCUUUCAAAAAAAAACAUGGGUGCAAAUAAUCUUUCAAAAAAAAACAUGGGUGCAAAGAAAGCCACAGGUAGACCGUCAUGUCUAUCUGUGCAGCUGCUUAUGUGGCUCGCAUGCACAAUCAUGAGCUUGCAGAUGUGCGGCUCCAUGAAAAUAUUAUCAACAUGCCCCUAGGACCAGAAUUAAUUGAAUAGAUAUACAUCGAUGCUGUCCAAGUAUGAGACAACGACACCAGGUAAUUUGAGAUAUAUAUACUGAUAGGCAAGAAUUUGAGAAAAAAGAAGCGAAAACAGCACAUCAACUAGAUUACAGGCUUACAGCUAGAUUUACAGCACAUCAAUUUGCUUUCUUAAACUGGAUUAGGCACGUGUUACAUGCUUACAGCUAGAUU
RNAcentral lists this long non-coding RNA (1865 nucleotides) under Setaria italica (foxtail millet). RNAcentral describes it as "long non-coding RNA (SITA_LNC002416)". Lineage: Eukaryota; Viridiplantae; Streptophyta; Magnoliopsida; Poales; Poaceae. The record is from RNAcentral.